ACAUGCUAGGCAAGGGCUAUAGCACUCACCCCAGCACCAACCAAUCCCAUGCUUUAUAUAUUCCUAGCUAUCAACCUCCUUUCCUCUGCUCCCUUUGUCUUUACCCAGACACAACGCACCACCUAACAGUAUUGUAAUAAAUGUGUGAUAGGAAACUUGAAGAUUGAUUGCUUUGAUUUGCCAGACACUGUCUUCUUUUCUUUUGCCUUUUAACACUUGAAAGCCUUAGGCUGUCAGUGAGCCAGGUACAGCAACGCAAUUGGACAGCAGCCACAUGUUCAUCCCUCACUCUGCUUCCAACCAACAAAACAACCGUUGCAGGUGAUAGAGUUUGUCACGAGUCCACGGCUGGAUAUUCUGCUGCUCGGUGCCAGGCUUGGCUGAUCUUGGCAAGGCCUGUUCAAGCAUCUGUGCUUAGCUCACGGACCAGCUGGGGGCUGGCUGAUGUAGGAGAGCUUUGGCAUGUACAGCUUGGCUUUCCCUACAUGAUCUUUAGACUUCCAGCUCAAGCUUGCUCUUGUGGCAGUGGCCAAGAUCACGCAGAAGAACAACAGGAUGAAUGGCUGAGCUGCAUUUGUAAGGACUGCCAGCGUCCAGGCUCUGACUACCAACUGAGGAACAACACAAUAGGCAAAUUAAGGUUGAUUAAAACUGUCUAAGCUGAUUGGUUGUUGAGUGUGUGUAUUUGUGUUUGAAACCAACAAU
Long non-coding RNA from Mus musculus (house mouse), 705 nucleotides. RefSeq annotates it as predicted gene, 39340. The record is from RefSeq and is a predicted model, not a curated record. Lineage: Eukaryota; Metazoa; Chordata; Mammalia; Rodentia; Muridae. The transcript has 3 exons.